UGGGGAAUAUUGCACAAUGGGCGCAAGCCUGAUGCAGCCAUGCCGCGUGUGUGAAGAAGGCCUUCGGGUUGUAAAGCACUUUCAGCGGGGAGGAAGGCGAUAAGGUUAAUAACCUUGUCGAUUGACGUUACCCGCAGAAGAAGCACCGGCUAACUCCGUGCCAGCAGCCGCGGUAAUACGGAGGGUGCAAGCGUUAAUCGGAAUUACUGGGCGUAAAGCGCACGCAGGCGGUCUGUCAAGUCGGAUGUGAAAUCCCCGGGCUCAACCUGGGAACUGCAUUCGAAACUGGCAGGCUAGAGGCUUGUAGAGGGGGGUAGAAUUCCAGGUGUAGCGGUGAAAUGCGUAGAGAUCUGGAGGAAUACCGGUGGCGAAGGCGGCCCCCUGGACAAAGACUGACGCUCAGGUGCGAAAGCGUGGGGAGCAAACAGG
Molecule: ribosomal RNA, 429 nt
Filed under: Chloroflexota bacterium
Lineage: Bacteria; Bacillati; Chloroflexota
Description: Chloroflexi bacterium partial 16S ribosomal RNA
Rfam family: Bacterial small subunit ribosomal RNA
Source: RNAcentral